AGUCGAGCGGGAUUAGUUAGUAGCUUGCUAUUAACUAUGAGAGCGGCGCACGGGUGCGUAACGCGUAUGCAACCUACCUUAUACUGGGGUAUAGCCCGGAGAAAUUCGGAUUAAUCCCCCAUAGUAUUAUCGAUUCGCAUGUUUUGAUAAUUAAAGGUUACGGUAUAAGAUGGGCAUGCGUCCUAUUAGCUAGAUGGUGAGGUAACGGCUCACCAUGGCGACGAUAGGUAGGGGGCCUGAGAGGGUGGUCCCCCACACUGGUACUGAGACACGGACCAGACUCCUACGGGAGGCAGCAGUGAGGAAUAUUGGUCAAUGGGCGAAAGCCUGAACCAGCCAUGCCGCGUGCAGGAAGACGGUCCUAUGGAUUGUAAACUGCUUUUAUUUGGGAAUAAACUCUGAUACGUGUAUCAGCCUGAAGGUACCAAAUGAAUAAGCACCGGCUAACUCCGUGCCAGCAGCCGCGGUAAUACGGAGGGUGCAAGCGUUAUCCGGAAUCAUUGGGUUUAAAGGGUCCGCAGGCGGUCAUAUAAGUCAGUGGUGAAAGCCUACAGCUCAACUGUAGAACUGCCAUUGAUACUGUAUGACUUGAAUUCGAUCGAAGUGGGC
Molecule: ribosomal RNA, 609 nt
Filed under: uncultured bacterium
Lineage: Bacteria
Description: bacterial SSU rRNA
Rfam family: Bacterial small subunit ribosomal RNA
Source: RNAcentral